Molecule: non-coding RNA, 24 nt
Filed under: Arabidopsis thaliana (thale cress)
Lineage: Eukaryota; Viridiplantae; Streptophyta; Magnoliopsida; Brassicales; Brassicaceae
Source: RNAcentral
UCCUUCUCAUUUCCUUAAGAUGCC